This 445-nucleotide ribosomal RNA is filed under the name uncultured bacterium. Its description in RNAcentral is "SSU rRNA". It matches the Rfam family "Bacterial small subunit ribosomal RNA", at positions 26 to 518 of the family's 1533-position model. The record is from RNAcentral.
AGAGCGAACGCUGGCGGCAGGCCUAACACAUGCAAGUCGAGCGCCCGUAGCAAUACGGGAGCGGCAGACGGGAGAGUAACACGUGGGAACGCGCCCUUCGGUUCGGAAUAACUCAGGGAAACUUGAGCCAAUACCGGAUACGCCCUUACGGGGAAAGAUUUAUUGCCGAAGGAACGGCCCGCGUCCGAUUAGCUUGUUGGUGAGGUAAUGGCUCGGCCAAGGCGACGAUCGGUAGCUGGUCUGAGAGGAUGACCAGCCUCACUGGGACUGAGACACGGCCCAGACUCCUACGGGAGGCAGCAGUGGGGAAUAUUGGACAAUGGGCGCAAGCCUGAUCCAGCCAUGCCGCGUGGAUGAUGAAGGCCCUAGGGUUGUAAAGUCCUUUUAACGGGGAGAUAAUGACGGUACCGUAGAAUAAGCCCGGCUACUUCGUGCCAGCAGCCGC